RNAcentral lists this microRNA precursor (55 nucleotides) under Equus caballus (horse). RNAcentral describes it as "mir-1302 microRNA precursor family". It matches the Rfam family "mir-1302 microRNA precursor family". The record is from Rfam by way of RNAcentral. Lineage: Eukaryota; Metazoa; Chordata; Mammalia; Perissodactyla; Equidae.
UUUUUAGUAUAAAUAUGUCCCAUACAGUAUUGCUGGGGACAUACUUAUACUAAAA